Molecule: long non-coding RNA, 4274 nt
Organism: Aotus nancymaae (Ma's night monkey)
Lineage: Eukaryota; Metazoa; Chordata; Mammalia; Primates; Aotidae
Source: Ensembl
AGGGGAGAUUUCAUGACAAAGGCCAGGGCUCAGCCCAGCCUUGUGGGCAGACUGGGUCAGGACCUGUCUUGGGAGGGCCCAGGGAAGCCCCAAGUUCUCAGGAAGCCCCUCCUCAGAAGCCACAGCACUGAUGAGAUGAGUCUCCCAUGAGGAGCUGCAGGACCUUGUCUGACCCAGCCUCAUGGUGGGGGUCUCAUCCCACGGAGAGGGGUCCCCAGCACUCCAGCGGACUGAAACCCCAAUGGGCCCUGCUCAGGCCACCAACCCCAGCCUGGAAAGGCCAAGUCCUCCCACACCUGCUGUCCCUACAGAAAUCCACAGGGUCACCCUGUGACUGUGGGAUGUGCUCAUCUUGGAGGGCGAGCGGGUACUGACGGCCAUGGCGCAUGCAUCAUUCAAAAUACACAGGAGUAAGUUACGCAUGCCCGAGGGUGCCUGGGGGAACACGCGGGACAGACCCCGGCUGGCCUGAGGGAACUGUCCUUACACUGCCUGCUCCAUCGGGUGGGGGGGGUCUGUCCUGGUGGGCUAGGCAAGGCAUGAUGACACUGAGUCCACCCACAACGUGACCCAGACGAAAGUCAGGAGUGUGGUGCACUUCCCUGCACGGCCUUCCGCAGCUGUGGCCUCCCGUGCACAGCUCGACCCCGGGUGGCCAAAAAGGACCUGGCACUACCCAGUGGGAGGUGGGCCUGGUGGAAACAGGGUGUGGGCAACGACCCCUCCCAGGGAACCCUCCUGGCCUGAUGCCCACCCUGUUCCUAGGGCACCUCACGAAGAUUUCCUGGAACACCGUCUGGGAAUUUCAGGAGCGGCUCUCUCAGAGCUGGGCCCUGGAGGACAAUGCCGUCCUUAGGAGCCUUCAAGCCUUCAUGGAGGAACUCACAAGGACACACUGGGACCUGCCACCCCCAGCUGAGCUCGAGCAAGUGUCCUCGAGAGUGUCCCCUGGCAUUGGGACUUUCUGUGAGGGGGACAGACUGGCCCUGCCCACCCCUCCAGCUCAGCUCCAGGAGCUCAUGCCAUCAGCCUGCCUGCAACAAAAGCCUUGUCCUCCCCCAGCAUGGCCGAACAAGGCUGUCCCUAAGGCCAAGGUUGAGGCCCAUCAGCACAAGGGGGCUUCCCAAGAACCCAGAGCCGCAGGCUACCCUCUGGGGGGCCCAGAGGCUCAAGAAGAGGGUAGCCUGUCCCUCAGCGAGAUCAGGCUUUGCAUUCCAUGGAAACGCCGGUCCAGGAGUUCCGUGCUACUGCUCCAUCCAGAACUGCCCGUCUUGGACCCGUGUUUUCCGCACUGCCAUUUCCAACACCGCUCCAGGGACUCUGUGAGGGCUUCUCCAGGACCUGGGCCCGCACACUGCACUCUGAAGGGCCCAGAGGCUCAAGAUGAAGGCUGCCUGUCCCCCGUUGAGGUCAGGCUUUGCAUUUCACGGAAACACUCAUCUGGGAGCUCCGUGCCACAGAGGAGGGCAGGUCUCCACACAGACCUGCCCGCUGGGGACCCGUGUUUCCUACGCUGCCAUUUCCAACAUGGCUCCUGGGACUCUGUCGCUUCUACAUCUUCCAUGAACAGCCCUGAAACUACAAGACGGACCCCGCCCAGCGAACCCAGUGGGACCCUGACACCAGGUCCUGCCUGGGCUUAUGACAGAGAGGAGGCAUUUCAAGAGAAACCCCAGCAACAAGGUUUCCCCUGCAUGCGACUCCCCUCGGUAGAAGAACAAUAUGGCAUGGAAGGAGCCCAGGGGCCCUCUGCCCAGCUGCCUCGAAGACCCAGAUGGCUGCUGGACCUUGUUUCCUACUGCCCUUUUAUUUUUAUUUUAUGUUUUUGGCUUCUGGGCCUUGGGAAAUACUGCUCGAUGAGGAACUUGACCCCAUCAAGGCCUCUGAAGGGAAGGCUGAGCACGGGGUUCCCGCAGUCUCCGCCAGCCAGCAGCAUGCCCUGGGACCUCUGACCCCACCUGUGGGUCAGAGCCUGUCCCCCAGGGCCCAAGUUUCAGGCCAAGAGGGACCUGGCUUCAACCCAAGUCCUUGGUGGAGAGGAGUACAGCGGGUCCCCAGGUGACCAUGCAGGGGACCAGGGCACUGCGAGCCCUGGGUGCUACGAGGAUUCACAUCAGAAAACCUGGACAAGCCAGAUCAGAGACGCUGAGCCUGUGCAGUGAUGAUAUGGGUGGCUGGCACAAGGGGGUCAACAGCUGUGAACACUGCUGCCUCUUCCUGACUUCAUCACUGCUGUGUGGGCAGUCUGCACCCCAUAGCCUGGCCCAACAGCACUCGAGUACCCCGCUCUGCUAUGCCAACAGGCCACCUGGAGACUUCGAGGCCCUGCCUGCCACAUUCCCCUCCUGAAAGCCUUGUCCUGCAGCCUAGCCACUGCCGCAGCCACAGGAGGGACCACUGCCAAGCGCCUUCCAGCCGGGCUUCCCAGAGGGCAGAGGUGCCUCAGCAGCGCAGACUGGGAAGGUAGUUUCAUCCACAUUUCCAUUGUUCCCACCAAAGAGAUUCCCUACAGAGGAUGCUCUUGAUCAAAGGUGGGCAAAAUGGCACGCCAGGUGGAUGGAGUCAGCUCCUUUCCCUGGCCACCACAUUAGGUUGGGGACAAGUGGCCAUCAGGCAGGCUUGGGACGUGACAGGCUCAGCAUGCCGCACGUGGCCUGACCAAGGCUGAACAGGCUAACACCACUGGCAAGCACCCCAUCUGCUGAUGAGAGACUUGGCGUCGAUCCCUGGGCUGGCACUAUUUCCCAGGAGGACCGGCUGGCCGCCUGUGGGUAGGAUGCCACACUGUGGAGGGGGCUGAGAACGGCCUUCACUGCAGGGAGCCCCUACCUGGAUAUAGACUUGCCUUGCCCAUCCUUCCUGUCACCAUGACAGCAGCCCACAUCGAAUUGCUUUUGACCAGGUCAUUUCAUUCACAGCGAGGGACAUGCAGCAGUAACCCCAGACCAAGGAACUGACUGUUCUCACUACAUCACCCACCGCCUGGAAGCCACUGGGCUUACGGUCACUCAGUUAUGCUGAAUUUUAUCAUUUCUGUUGGAAACCAGUAGAUGGCGCUGAAGCCCUCACAGCCAGGAGGUACAGGUCUGAGAUUCAACGUGUGAAAGCGGACAAUGUUCAGUAUUGCACUUCAUCUCUCAGUCACAAAGUUUUCUAUUCCUGUCCUGGAAAAAUGGAGCUUUGCCGGUUGGAAGGUCUUAGGACCCAGGCAGAGUGGAGCUUCCCCCAGGGGAACACAACAAUGUUUCUAUUUAAUGUGAAGAGACUGGACUAAGUCUGAAACCCAGGGCACUCUCUGUUCUUGGUGUUUCCAUGUAAAGAAAGUCAAAUAACUUGCCACAAAAGUUUGCCACAGAGGCAUCUGAAAAAAGAGGGGGCAGAACUAUUCAGAACUCAGAGGCUUCAGAGUCAAAGAUGAGGCCAAGCAGGAGAAUCGUGACCCUUUGAGGACAGGGGAAGUAUGGGAGUGGCUGGGAGAUGCUGUCAUAGAGGUCCACCCCGGCCUUGUGAUCUGUCACAGAACUGUGCACUAGAAUAGCUGUGCACAUUUUCUCUCCACUGAUUAUAGUAUUUCUUUCCAUUUGCAACUCUCCAAUCACUAAGGGAGCUAGCUACCAAACGCACAUUGCUAUACCACAGCCUGGGUCUUGCAAUCCAAGCCUGGCAAGGAUUCCUUCAUCUCAAAGGCCUCAGGUGACUUUCACGCACAGCCAAGUUCAUGCCAUCAGCCCACCUGCAACAAAAGCCUUGUCCUCCCCCAGCAUGGCCAAACAAGGCUGUCCUUAAGGCCAAGGUUGAGGCCCAUCAGCACAAGGGGGCUUCCCAAGAACCCAGAGCCGCAGGCUACACUCUGGGGGGGCGAUCCCUGGGCUGGCACUAUUUCCCAGGAGGACCGGCUGGCUGCCUGUGGGUAGGAUGACACAUUCCUGCUCAAAAAAGAAGGAACGAGGGUCAACGAAUAGCGAACCAGUCACGGAACAGGAUAAGAUGUGAGCGUGUGGCCUUCCUGACACCCAGGCAAGACUUUGGGCACAAAGCUGGGCUGCAGCUCUGGCCACUGACUGGACCAGAGACACCUCCACACAGUCCGGUCUGCCCUGGCUGCUCUUCUCCCUGCUGCCACCCUCUCUUCCACUGUCUGUGUUAGGAAGGGAGAACCUGCCGGUUUUCAGAAGAAAAUGUAGCUUUGUUAUGACAUAGGAAAGACUGCAAGUUAUUAGGGGAGGAGUAGUCAAACAGCUCCUGAAAAUGAGGGGGAAGGGAAGGUGUAAAUA